RNAcentral lists this ribosomal RNA (1291 nucleotides) under uncultured bacterium. Its description in RNAcentral is "bacterial SSU rRNA". It matches the Rfam family "Bacterial small subunit ribosomal RNA", at positions 95 to 1399 of the family's 1533-position model. The record is from RNAcentral.
GUGGCGGACGGGUGAGUAAUACGUAGGCAACCUGCCUCAAAGAGAGGGAUAACUGGGAGAAAUUUCAGCUAAUACCUCAUAAGACCACACUGCGGCAUCGCAGAGGGGUCAAAGGAGUAAUCCGCUUUGAGAUGGGCCUACGGCUGAUUAGUUUGUUGGUGGGGUAACGGCCUACCAAGACUAUGAUCAGUAGCCGGGCUGAGAGGCUGGCCGGCCACAUUGGGACUGAGACACGGCCCAGACUCCUACGGGAGGCAGCAGUCGGGAAUAUUGGACAAUGGGGGAAACCCUGAUCCAGUGACGCCGCGUGAAGGAAGAAGGUCUUCGGAUUGUAAACUUAUUUUAUUAGGGAAGAAACAAAUGACUGUACCUAAAAAAAAAGCACCGGCUAACUACGUGCCAGCAGCCGCGGUAAUACGUAGGGUGCAAGCGUUAUCCGGAUUUAUUGGGCGUAAAGCGCGUCUAGGCGGUUUGGUAAGUCUGAUGUGAAAAUGCGGGGCUCAACUCCGUAUUGCGUUGGAAACUGCCAAACUAGAGUACUGGAGAGGUAGGCGGAACUACAAGUGUAGAGGUGAAAUUCGUAGAUAUUUGUAGGAAUGCCGAUGGGGAAGCCAGCCUACUGGACAGAUACUGACGCUAAAGCGCGAAAGCGUGGGUAGCAAACAGGAUUAGAUACCCUGGUAGUCCACGCCGUAAACGAUGAUUGCUAGGUGUUGGGGGUCGAACCUCAGCGCCCCAAGCUAACGCGAUAAGUAAUCCGCUUGGGGAGUACGUACGCAAGUAUGAAACUCAAAGGAAUUGACGGGGACCCGCACAAGCCGGUGGAGCAUGUGGUUUAGUUCGACGCAACGCGAGGAACCUUACCAGCGUUUGACAUCCCAAGAAGUUAACAGAGAUGUUUUCGUGCCUCUUCGGAGGAACUUGGUGACAGGUGGUGCAUGGCCGUCGUCAGCUCGUGUCGUGAGAUGUUGGGUUAAGUCCCGCAACGAGCGCAACCCUUAUUGUUAGUUGCCAUCAUUCAGUUGGGCACUCUAGCGAGACUGCCGCAGACAAUGCGGAGGAAGGUGGGGAUGACGUCAAAUCAUCAUGCCCCUUAUGACCUGGGCUACACACGUGCUACAAUGGAGAGUACAACGAGUCGCAAAGCCGCGAGGCUAAGCCAAUCUCUUAAAGCUCUUCUCAGUUCGGAUUGUAGGCUGCAACUCGCCUACAUGAAGCCGGAAUCGCUAGUAAUCGCGGAUCAGCACGCCGCGGUGAAUACGUUCCCGGGUCUUGCACACACCGCCCGUCA